UGGAAGCAGAGGAGUUCCUGGAUGUGGUGGGCACUCCUCCCAUGGCCUCUGGCACACGGCUGGGUAACACAAAGGAGAGUCAGCCUGCUGGGAGCUGCUGCUCAGCCAAGCUAACCUCUGGCUUCCAUGGACUGCCCUACAGCAGGAGAAAAAGCUGCCAGAUCAACUCUGCCAGCCUAAGCAGAGGUAAGGUUUGUUUAAAAGAAGGGAGCAGCAAAUACAGUGGAAACCCAGCUCUUUGCAGUCCCCAGAUGGUGGUAACUGCAGUAGCUGUGCAUGUUCCAGGCAGAGGCAGUUUAUCAAGACAGAUGGUGCAGCCUUAAUGCUGCUUAGGAGCAGAACAGCUUGUGGCAGCCACACUAACACAGAAUAAACUUUCCUCCUGGUGCAACUCUGUUCCUUCUCAAUGGAACAGAUAUAUGGUCUCAGUUACUCAAGGGAAUUUGUAGGCUCCAAGGCUGGAUGACAUUCCAGGUGCUCCAGGUUCAUUCCUCAUCCUAAAACAGCCAGCUUGAGCAAGAGCAAGAUUUAAGUUUCUUAGCCUCAACAUUACUGAAGAGAGACUGAUUAACACCAGCUUGUUCCUAUUUGUGUUCCAAGGUAUGGAUGAGGGCAGACAGACUUAGCUCCAAUGGGUAAGUAUGCAGGAGCACCAGUAAAGAUGGUUUUUAAAAGGAGAAAGAGCAGGAGAGACAAAGAUUUAAGUGAUUCCUUGCAAUUUCUCAGUGGUGGGAUGUAAAGGUAGAAGCCAAACAUUCAUCUCUGCAUUCCUGUGGGGCACCCUUGGCUUCUAAGAAAGGUCCUGACAGCAAUUUCUAAAACCAGGCCAUCUCUGUCUGGAUUCUGCCAUCCCAAGCCAGAAAUGUGCCCUCUAGGUUAAAAUAAGAACCAUUUCCAUGCCCAGAGGAGGCUCAGGCAGGCACGGAGUGCUGCUGCUCCUGCCUGAGUGAAGCAAGGCCAGAGGACACACCUGCCCCGUCGCGGAUGACGGAGCUGAGCUUGGAGCUGAAGAGCACAUCCACGUGGUUCAGGAUGAACUCCACCACCACCGACUGGAUCCGCACCUCCAUGAAGGCGGCCGUGCCGCUGAAGCAGGCGGACUCGAUCUGCUUGGACCUGCAAAGGGACACGGGAGAGGGAAGAGGCUCCUGCUGGGCGAGGCCUGGGCACCUGUGGGGCUGCAGGGCCUGGGGCUCGGGCAGAAAGGGCUGCAGGGUGGUUCUGGGGUUAAAUCUCGGCAAUGCUCACAAAUGAUCACUGACUGUGGGAAUUUAUGGACAAACUUCAGGUCCAGGUUCAAGCAUUACUGACCAGGCAAGAGGAACACUGGGCUGGGAGGAAAAGGGAGCGUGGGACAGGUCUGAAUUGAGGUUAAUACACUGAACAUCCAAAAUCAAGAGCUUUUUGUUAACUCAUCUCCAUGACUGCCACGGUUUAAGGCAGUGUUGUACAAAGCUGCUGUGGCCUCUGAGAUUUUCCCUCAAGCCGGGAGCAUCUCCACCUGAUCCUUCUGAAUGAAUGCCCCAGGACUCACCAAAGCAAACUCAAACACGAGGUCACUCCACUGCCUGUGGGAGAACUGCCAGAAAGAAGAGCCCACCUGCAGGAACUGGGAGUCUCCAAGGGCAGACUGGACAGGGCUUGGAGUAACCUGGGGAAGGUGUCCCUGCCCUUGGCAGAGGGUGGCAUUGGAUGACCUUUAAUAUUUCUCCCAACCCAAACCCUUCUGGGAUUCCAUGAUGAACUGCACACUCAGAUUUCUCAGGUUGGUAACGACAGGAAGUCAGAAAUCAGUACAAUAAAGGUUAGGGGGAUAAUAUUUUUUUUCUUUUAAAGCAAAUUUUUAAAGUUAUACCAUUAAUUUUAAAGUGCCCUAUCAUCCAGAUUCAAAAGAGAUUUAUCCAAGUUAACUUCUGUAAGUUUGAAUUCUUGCAGCCAGAAGUUGUCAAAUUAGACUCUAGAGAUUUAUGCAGUGGGAAAUCAGUGAUGCCACUGUAGAAAUUCUCCUGGAUGAUCAAGGACACAUCAGUUUCAUCUAACCAGGAGAGGAGAAAUUACCCUCUAAAAGAGGGUUCAGGGAAUUCUUCCUUGUCACUACUGACAGAACUGCAGCCAGUGGAACUGUGUUGUGUGAGACAAGAUAAUACAGGGGCUGUUUUACAUCACUCAUCAGAAACUUGCCAGCUGAUCUUAAAUCCUGCUUAGAGCAAUUCCCCAUAUAUUACAGGAGGAGAAGAGCACAUUGGGUCAAGAGAGGAAGAGCUCUUUCCAGCUGCUGAAAGCUGGGAUUUUCUGGACUAUCUGUUGUUUAUGAAUGUAAACAUUUCUUUUGUAUUGAAAUGGGAAAAGCCCAGAGUACCUGAGGAGGUUUGGAGCCCAGACGAUGGCCAAGUUCUUGGUGUGCAUAUUUGUGAUGGAGCAAUAAUCAGCCAGACGAGCCAAGUGUCUCAUUAGGAACUCCAGUGUCCUGGAAAACAGCAGAGAGGCAAAUGUUGAGCACCACUGAGCAAAGCCAGGCCAAGAUCCAAAGCACAAACCCAGCACAUUAUUUCCUUUUGGUUUGACAGCUCCCAGAAAGGAAUGCUGAACUCUUUCCCCUCAUCCCCACGGUAGACCUGGCUUUGGCAAUACUAACACAGGAUGCACUGAGGGGAGGCUCUCCUGACUGGUCCAGGCUCAAGAAAAUGACAGAUUCAGGAAAAACCCUCUGUAGGUGUGUGACAGCGAUGAGGGGCUGCUCAGGGAUGUGUGGGGAAGGAUGUGGAAUGCUAAUCCCGGGAUGGGGGGAGUAUUGAUUUACACACUCCAGAAUACUGAAAAUACUGGCAGCAGGCUUCUCAGAGGUGGGUAAGGCAGAUGGAAGGUUAAACGUCAGAGGCUUCUGUUCACAUUAAAAAAAGGUGGCAUUAAAUAUUAAUAUUAAAAAAUAUUAAGCACUGUUGUAUUUAAUACAUGCUAGGUAGGAGGGAGCAGGAGGUGGCAGUGAAAAUGCUGCUGUACCUUCCUGGUGCUCCUGGCUUGUGUCUGUCUCACAGCCUAUUCUUUUUUGGGGGGAAGCAAGAUAGAGCAGAGAGGGUGUUUUGGGGCUCAAAAUUCCACAAAUAGACAAGAUUGGAAGUGAAGAAAAUGGCUUUGUCUGGAAACCAAACAGACACCUCCUGCCUGCAACUUCUCAUCACUGAGCAGCAGAAAAAUAAAGUGUUUUUUCCUUUUUUCAAGCAAACCCCAGGAAAGAAGAGCAGCACCCUGUGACCUACAGCAGUCCUGCUGUUGGCUGUGCCCCCUCUCUGGGACUCACGUGCUGCUGGUACCAGAACUCAGUUUAACCAGCCCCAUAAGGGAGGGGCAGACUGGAGACAAAAUACAAUUCACCAAGUCUGGCUGAAGGUCUGAG
This is a non-coding RNA of Lonchura striata (white-rumped munia), 3394 nucleotides long. NCBI's taxonomy places the organism in Eukaryota, Metazoa, Chordata, Aves, Passeriformes, Estrildidae. The record is from RefSeq and is a predicted model, not a curated record.